CUCCUACGGGAGGCAGCAGUAGGGAAUCUUCCGCAAUGGACGAAAGUCUGACGGAGCAACGCCGCGUGAGUGAUGAAGGCUUUCGGGUCGUAAAACUCUGUUGUUAGGGAAGAACAAGUGCUAGUUGAAUAAGCUGGCACCUUGACGGUACCUAACCAGAAAGCCACGGCUAACUACGUGCCAGCAGCCGCGGUAAUACGUA
RNAcentral lists this ribosomal RNA (202 nucleotides) under Staphylococcus epidermidis CIM37. Its description in RNAcentral is "partial 16S ribosomal RNA". It matches the Rfam family "Bacterial small subunit ribosomal RNA", at positions 336 to 529 of the family's 1533-position model. The record is from RNAcentral. Lineage: Bacteria; Bacillati; Bacillota; Bacilli; Caryophanales; Staphylococcaceae.